CAUAAGCUGCGUUGUUCGUAUUCAUAAUAAAGUUUUAACCUUUAAGCUGGAAUAGGGAGUUUUAAAGGAAACCGGAAUGACAAACCUCUGUCUAGAUGACAUGGAGGACAUGCAGGAACGUUUCUGCGAACACCCACUUUGCGGAGUGGUGGUUUAAAACUUUCUUAUAUUUCUAUACGGCAGAGGCGGCUUGUAC
RNAcentral lists this non-coding RNA (196 nucleotides) under Siminovitchia acidinfaciens. Its description in RNAcentral is "Bacillus sp. 3-2-2 6S RNA". It matches the Rfam family "6S / SsrS RNA". From Rfam's summary of the family: E. coli 6S RNA was the first non coding RNA to be sequenced, but its function was unknown until recently. It consists of 184 nucleotides that fold into an extended hairpin structure with a large single-stranded internal bulge. The 6S RNA specifically associates with RNA polymerase holoenzyme containing the sigma70 specificity factor. Lineage: Bacteria; Bacillati; Bacillota; Bacilli; Caryophanales; Bacillaceae. The record is from RNAcentral.